AGCUGUUAGGACUCUCCAGCUGCCCUGCAGCCCUUAACGAUGAGCAUCACACUUUGUUCCUGCAGACUGAGGACCGCGCAGAGGGUGGGAGGUGAGUGGUAAGCCCAGCUGCCCCUAAACAGCCUCUCAGCUCCUCUGUGGAUUAAUGGGUCUGCUUUCGCCAGCAGGUGUCGCCCUUGUCCCAAGGAAGUUGCAUCAGUAUCAGGACGCCUAGAGAUCGAGCUAAGAACAAAAGCCGUUAAAAAUACCCCAGCGAUUCAUUUCUGAUGUCCAAGAGCAACUGAGGCUUGUUUCAUGUCCCAGCUGGGUGCUGUUCUUGUGCAAGCUACAUGUACAUUUGAUGGAGGGCAAGAGGCCACAGAGAAAACUCUGCCCUACUUUCCUCCCUCUCCUCCACCCAUCUCCACACCGCCAACCUCUCCACACCCCCAAGGGCCAGGCCCUGCCCAGGGAGGGGAUUGCCCUGAUUAAAGCCAGCAGUACAAGCCCAGCUGUCCCCGGUGGAGAUAACCACUGCCUGAAAGGAGGUUUCCAAGGUGGCACCUUGCCCAGCCUGUUACAUGACCUGGGAGCAAUGCAGCGCAUCAUCUCUCUGCCGCCUGCUUGGAGAAGGCCCCAGGUUCAGCCCCGUGAAAUGGGUUGCAAUGGACUUACACAAGAAGCUUGCCCAGAGCAGAGGGGAGUAGAUGAUCACACCUCAGGGACUCCAGCAUCCCUCCAGCAGUGAUUUUACAGCCCAGCUCUGAGAUCCCAGACCAUCGAGCCUUCAUUACUUCUCCAAAGUACCAUGCUACAUAGAGGAUCAAGCUAAAUGAAGCCCCAUUCGCUGCACAAAGAAACAAAGUACAUUUUGCAAUACAAGGCUCUUGAAUUUUAUUGUUCGCUUUUCUCACUAAUUCGCAAAACGCAUUAAUCUGCAAUGGAAGGCAUUCAUGGAAAUGAGCAAGGCUCUAUCUUAAUAAUUCUUCUGAGUUAUGGACAGUUGAGCAGGGAACACAUGGUACUGGCGGUAUAAGUGUGUGCCGUUUCAAAGUUAUACUGCCGCAUAUUGAGUAAUUGUAUUUUAAUUUGGUGUUUAAUGACUUGAAGCCAUACAGCAAGUUCUACGAUAUCCUUUAAUUGUCAGGGCUUUUAUGCAUCAUAUUAAAUUACAUUUCCUUUUGAGAAAACUUGGAAGUUUGUAGGCCUACCACAAUACUUCAACCAGUUUUGCUUGCUUGCAAGGGAACAAGUUCUCCUCUGAGAAGGCAACUAAGUGAUAUAUGUAUUCUAAGCCCACGUUAACAGAUGAUUAUAUGGCAGCUUAUGGUCAGACGCUCUGAUCAUUUGGGGACUUUGCACAUACAGCUCACCACCUCUUUUUGACACGGGGCACCUUCUGUGUCACCCUCUGCUAGACUGCAACCCCAGCUGCCCGUGGGACUGGUGUGUUGUCCUUUUACAUCUGUGUUGGCUGAACUUCCAAGAAAUGGCCUCCAACAACAGAGGAUGGGUAAAGAUCUAAUCACACUGAGCCUUCUCACUUUGGCAAAAGGCUGGCCAUGCCAGUGGGGUAAAUCAGACUGCUGGGAGUGCCACACUUCCAGAGCUAGCUUGGGGUUGCUCUAUGCUGCCCAGAAGGGAUAAAUUGGUGCGGGGGUAGGCUGGGGUGGGGGCGUAAAUAUGUGCACUGUGCAUGGUGUGGAUCCAGGACCAGCCACUGCAUGCUGCACGUGGGUCAGCACAGACCUAGAGAUAGCACCAGGGGAGAGAUGACAGGGCUCCAUGGGCUGUAUCAUGGACACCCCUGCCUUACACAAGAAUCACGUGGUGGGAGACUAGUUACCUGAGGUGACCAAUUCCCUGACGCUGAAGCAAGAGAAGAAAGACUAACAGAUGGGGGCUAUGUCCCAGAGCAGAAACAGGAGGGCAGGGAGAGCAAGGACUGUGUACUACUUAGGAGCUUCUGACUUCAGCUCAAAGGACACUCAAAAGCCAUGAGAAAACUGAAACAGAGAAAUGCUGGGAGCUUAUCUGUCUACCGCUAUUUCUCAUGCUGGCUGAAAUCAAGACCAACUGGUUCUUUGAACCCCUUAAAAAGUCUGUUGGCUUCAACUAUCACGUCCCUGAAGAAAUGAACAGGAAAUUCAGGGUGCCUAGAGCACUGAGAAGGGGUGUGAGAGUUAUAGGCCUCAGGGAGGUGGGGUAAGAGAUAGGCUCUACCUUGGAGGUGGUGUCAAAGAGGGCAGGAAGAGCCAGCACCACAGCCCAUCCAACUGUGCCUUCAGAAAGGGCCAAGGGCGCUGGGAGCUGACCGCAGUCACGGGUGGGAAACCAGGGCUUGGAGACAGACCCAGCACAAGGAAAUUACAGGAACAAUGCAGGACACUUCUACAGAAAGCAAACCUGUCAAACCAGUACCUGUGCCAAUGCCUUUCUGAAUCUCACGUCAGACCCAGCAGCUCCAGGCAAGGAACAAGCUUCCGUGUGGCCCAGUUUUCAGCAGUGAUAGCAGGAGCUAGGGCUCACUGAUCCACAUGGGCCACUCCAGUCCUGUUAAAUGAGACAAUUCCCAAAAGCCUCUCUCGAGCUCAAAAAUGAACACAGCAAUAACAGCCCCAGUUGGUGACAAUUACGGCCUCAUAACAAACAUGCAGACAGUUUCUUGCUCUAGUUCACGCUACCCUGCCACCUGCACUGGUCCCAAGGCACAACGCUUUCAGCAUUUCUAAUAUACCCUUCCUAUUAUGAAGGGGUUAAAAGAGAUGUAAAGUUGAGAAGAAGCUUCAAACUGCUGAAGUCAGCUGCCCCAAACCAAGUUUAGCUCUAAAGUCUCCGAUGCCUGGAAACAGGAAGCCGGGGGUGCUCAGAAGCAGUCAGUCACUGCGAUGGAGAUUCCUUCAACUAUCCUUUUUUUUAGGAAAGUAGGGAGAAGAAAGAUAACAUACUGUUCAGGGAGUGAUUAAAUUGUGUAAUCUCACUAUCUCAAGUGAUGUAAUUUGAUGUAAUCAAAUAAACAAAUUACUCUACGUUAAAGAAGGAGCUUGUCGAGGC
Long non-coding RNA from Alligator sinensis (Chinese alligator), 3033 nucleotides. RefSeq lists it as uncharacterized. Lineage: Eukaryota; Metazoa; Chordata; Crocodylia; Alligatoridae. The transcript is spliced from 3 exons. The record is from RefSeq and is a predicted model, not a curated record.